Sciurus carolinensis (gray squirrel) is the source of this 1565-nucleotide long non-coding RNA. RefSeq lists it as uncharacterized. NCBI's taxonomy places the organism in Eukaryota, Metazoa, Chordata, Mammalia, Rodentia, Sciuridae. The transcript has 3 exons. The record is from RefSeq and is a predicted model, not a curated record.
GUCUUCCUCUGGGAGUGUAGUUCCCUGAUAGCUUUCUUUCUUUCUUUCUUUCUGUCCCAGGGAUUAAAGCAGGGCUGCUUCACCCCUGAGCCACCUUCCCAGCCCCUUUUUAGAUUUUAUUUAGAGUCAGGGUCUCGCUGAGUUGCUUCUGGCCUCACUAAGUUGCUGAAGCUGGCCUCCAACUUGCCAUCCUCCUGCCUCAGCCUCCGGGGAUGACAGCAUGUGCCACUGUGCCCAGCCCUGAUAGUUUUCUUAACGUGACCAGUGGCACAGCAUUCCGACUGUCUUCUGUGUUCUAGAACCUUCUCAGCGUUCCCUUUCCCCAUUUGCUCCUACUUGAGGCAAAAGCCACCUGGGCCAGGUGCUGUCUGUCAACAGAGUGGAUGGUGCUCCUGGCCCUCUUCCCGGGGCCUCUUCAGAGGAGAGCUGUUUGAGCAACCGCCUUGCCAACUUCCGGUGGCCUGCAGAGUGGAACGUCCUGCGUCUCCGCUGCCCUGAGAGCGGGUCCAUCUCCUGAGAUCUGGUGGUGAGAUCUGGUGAAAACAUCCGUCCCAGACAUACCCAGAAGUGUGCGUCACCAGUUCCCUAGGCCUCUCCAUCCAAUCAAGUUGACAACCAAGAGUUACCAUGACCCGGAGGCUCAGGAGGCUGAGGCAGGAGGAUCGCAAGUUGGAGGCCAGCCUCAGAAACUUAGAUCAGGGUGACAUUCAAGGGGCUUCUGGUCUGGUUUCACCCCACAGUGAAGCGGAUUCUAGCUCCACCAGGCCGGUGGAGGUAAAGGAGCUGGCGUCUUCUCCCGUGGCAGGAAUAAGGCAACAGGAGACCGUAAGGGGGAGCUGCAGAGGAAGGGUCAGGAGGAGCGGGCCCAAGGAAACCGGUCACUUCCCUGAGGCCAGUGGUGGGGCUGGGUUGAGGCCAGCUUCCGCCUCAAGAUGGCGGUUGUGAAGACGGAAGUUUCCAUGGGAGAGCGCAGCAGAGCUUUGUGAGCGAGAGACGAAAUUCUCAUGGGCCUCGGGUUAGUCAAAGGCCCAGCCUGGGCAGAGGGCCGCUGGAAAGGGCACCCGAAGAGACGGUAUGGAAGGAUCUGGGGACCCACAGAGGGUGGGCAGAGGCAAGGGGCCAGCCAGGAGGUGAGGCCCAAGCUGGCCAGAUGUGAGCUGCCAUCCACUGGGCCUGGAGGGACAAGGGGGAGGAAGCCGCUCCCAACAUGGGCUCCCAGGCGGGGGUGGACACGGGACAGUCCCUGACGUCUUCUUCUUGCCCUCCGGCGUCAGACGCGCCCCAGGUGGCAUUGGUGCGGCCUCACGGGAUGGGCUGGCUGGGAACCCGGGGAAUGGACACCCACAUGCCUGCAGUGCUGGGCGCUGUUCUGUGUCCAGCUCACUGUGAAUCCACUCAGACACGCGCCUCACCAGCUGGCCGUGUUCCCACUCUGCUGUGGAGAGAAAGUUGACGUGUGGACGGUGGCCCCAGGGAGACGCCAAGGUCCCAGGGAGACGGUCAAGGUCCCAGGGAGACGGUCAAGGUCCCAGGGAGACGGUCAAGGUCCCAGGGAGACGGUCAAG